GACGAACGCUGGCGGCGUGCUUAACACAUGCAAGUCGAACGGAAAGGCCCUGCUUUUAGGGUACUCGAGUGGCGAACGGGUGAGUAACACGCGGGUGAUCUGCCCUCCUCUUCGGGAUAAGCCUGGGAAACUGGGUCUAAUACCGGAUAGGAGCCAUUUUUAGUGUGAUGGUUGGAAAGUUUUUUCGGUGUAGGAUGAGCUCGCGGCCUAUCAGCUUGUUGGUGGGGUAAUGGCCUACCAAGGCGGCGGCGGGUAGCCGGCCUGAGAGGGUGGACGGCCACAUUGGGACUGAGGUGCGGCCCAGGCUCCUACGGGGGGCAGCAGUGGGGAAUAUUGCACAAUGGGCGCCAGCCUGGUGCAGCGACGCCGCGUGGGGGAUGACGGCCUUCGGGUUGUAAACUCCUUUCGCUAGGGACGAAGCUUUUUGUGACGGUACCUAGAUAAGAAGCACCGGCUAACUGCGUG
This 465-nucleotide ribosomal RNA is filed under the name uncultured bacterium. Its description in RNAcentral is "partial 16S ribosomal RNA". It matches the Rfam family "Bacterial small subunit ribosomal RNA", at positions 28 to 507 of the family's 1533-position model. The record is from RNAcentral.